GAGUUUAUCUUAAACACUUGUUACAUGGCACCUGAUACUUUAUUACAUUUCUAGUGGCGACGGGUGAGUAACACGUUGGAACCUGCCCCAAAGUGAGGAAUAAGCCACCGAAAGGUGGUCUAAUACUUCAUAAUAUCCAUCUCGUAUGGAUUAAAGCUUUAUGCGCUUUGGGAGGGGCCUGCGUAACAUUAGCUUGUUGGUGAGGUAAAAGCUCACCAAGGCUUCGAUGUUUAACUGGUUUGAGAGGAUGACCAGUCACACUGGACUGAGAUACGGCCCAGACUCCUACGGGAGGCAGCAGUAAGGAAUCUUCCACAAUGGGGCAACCCUGAUGGAGCAAUACCGCGUGCAGGAUGAAGCGUUUCGGCGUGUAAACUGCUUUUAUCACCGAAGAUUAUGACUGUAGGUGAAGAAUAAGGACCGGCUAACUACGUG
RNAcentral lists this ribosomal RNA (435 nucleotides) under uncultured bacterium. RNAcentral's name for it is "bacterial SSU rRNA". It matches the Rfam family "Bacterial small subunit ribosomal RNA", at positions 41 to 507 of the family's 1533-position model. The record is from RNAcentral.